UACGGAGGGUGCAAGCGUUAUCCGGAUUCACUGGGUUUAAAGGGUGCGUAGGUGGGUCUGUAAGUCAGUGGUGAAAUCCCCGAGCUUAACUUGGGAACUGCCGUUGAUACUAUAGAUCUUGAAUAUCGUGGAGGUAAGCGGAAUAUGUCAUGUAGCGGUGAAAUGCUUAGAUAUGACAUAGAACACCAAUUGCGAAGGCAGCUUACUACACGAUCAUUGACACUGAGGCACGAAAGCGUGGGGAUCAAACAGG
Molecule: ribosomal RNA, 253 nt
Filed under: uncultured bacterium
Lineage: Bacteria
Description: partial 16S ribosomal RNA
Rfam family: Bacterial small subunit ribosomal RNA
Source: RNAcentral